GUACUCAGCAGCACAGAAACAAAAACUGGAACGAUACCGAGGAGAUUAGCAUAGCUCCAGUCCAAGGAUGACAUGCAAAUUUGUGAAACAUCCCAGAUGUAA
This is a small nuclear RNA of Sceloporus undulatus (fence lizard), 102 nucleotides long. The record is from RefSeq and is a predicted model, not a curated record. Lineage: Eukaryota; Metazoa; Chordata; Lepidosauria; Squamata; Phrynosomatidae.